GGACGGGAGGGUCAGAUGACUACGGUUACAUCUCGGGCUUCCGGAGCUAGUUGGGUCUUUGUUUUUGGUGUUUUAGAGUCGGUGAAGGCUUUAAAGGAAGUAGGCAGCUGGAACCCGGCUGUGGCGGGUUGAAAAGCCCGGGCGUUUGAGAGCUGAGACUUGCCAGUUCCCACAGGCCAAGCCAGGCGUCUGCACCCCAUUCUCUUGGUUCCGACGAAUAUGCUCUCCAUGAGGGUGUUCUUCAGGGCCUACCACAAUGGCUGGCACUAGAGAAGGGCACAAAAUUGAAGAACAGUGAAGACAAAAGCAAUAAGAUGAUUAAGGCCAUGUGAGACAGCAACAAUAUCAGGUCCUAGUGGUCACUCGUCCAACCUCCACAUUCCUCAAUGGCCCACAUCAGAUGAGUCAGUUCCUUCAUCAGUGAUGGCAGUGAUUGCAGGGAACGCUCAGCCUCCUUGGCUCUGAUUCUGCCUUACCAGAAGGGAGCCCUUCUGACUUGACCUCGUGGGUGCCAUCGAGUGUGGUUCCAGCUCCGCAUGUUCCUGACUACUCCUGCACAAGUCUGGGAGGUGAGGGAUGUGGGAGGCGCAGCUCUCAGAGCCUCUUACAGAAACAACCAGCCUGGUGCUGCGGUGGCAAGAAACAGACACUGACCCCCGACCCCAAGGGAAAUUCACAAGAAGGCUAUGGAGUCCCUCACAACAUGGAAGGGGAAAUUGAAGAGCCUGGUCUGGAAAAGACAGAAAACAGGGAGGCCGUGGGGACCUAGAAGCUGGAACCAACUGAGAGUCUCAUCUGGCCACACUGUAAAGAUGUGUCAGCCCCAACCUCUUCUUGGCUUUUGCUUCCUCCAUUCAAGGGUCAGAGUCUGAGUGCCUAGGUGGGCCCAGAGCCUUCCCUCUCCAGCCUCCCUGCUGCCCCAGAGAGGACAAACACCAUUUCUGACUCCCCUACAUACUCAGAGUGCAUUCUCAGGAUCACAGUAGAGGAAGGACUGAGAAAAUAAGUGCUCAUGAGGCUGAUGGGCUGCCUUAGCUUUAUCAGCAGCAGAAGAAUUCUGGGAUGCUCACCUCCCA
RNAcentral lists this long non-coding RNA (1076 nucleotides) under Homo sapiens (human). RNAcentral's name for it is "HSALNT0224549". The record is from RNAcentral. Lineage: Eukaryota; Metazoa; Chordata; Mammalia; Primates; Hominidae.